This 530-nucleotide ribosomal RNA is filed under the name uncultured bacterium. Its description in RNAcentral is "bacterial SSU rRNA". It matches the Rfam family "Bacterial small subunit ribosomal RNA", at positions 777 to 1320 of the family's 1533-position model. The record is from RNAcentral.
AAUAGAUACCCUGGUAGUCCUAGCCGUAAACGAUGAACACUAGGCGUAGUCGGUAUCGACCCCGGCUGUGCCGUAGCUAACGCAUUAAGUGUUCCGCCUGGGGAGUACGGCCGCAAGGCUAAACUCAAAGGAAUUGACGGGGGCCCGCACAAGCAGCGGAGCGUGUGGUUUAAUUCGUCGCAACGCGAAGAACCUUACCAGGGCUUGACAUGUGGCGGAAAACGGCGGAAACGUCGUCCUCCCGCAAGGGACCGUCAUGCAAGUGUUGCAUGGCUGUCGUCAGCUCGUGUCGUGAGAUGUUGGGUUAAGUCCCGCAACGAGCGCAACCCCCGUGGCAUGUUGUAUCUCUCAUGCCAGACUGCCGAGAGAAACUCGGAGGAAGGUGGGGAUGACGCCAAGUCAGCAUGGCCCUUACGUCCUGGGCUACACACACGCUACAAUGGCCGGUACAACGGGUUGCCAAACCGCGAGGUGGAGCUAAUCCCUUAAAGCCGGUCUCAGUUCGGAUUGCAGGCUGCAACUCGCCUGCA